AGUGAACGCUGGCGGUAGGCCUAACACAUGCAAGUCGAACGGCAGCACAGUAAGAGCUUGCUCUUACGGGUGGCGAGUGGCGGACGGGUGAGGAAUACAUCGGAAUCUACUUUUUCGUGGGGGGUAACGUAGGGAAACUUACGCUAAUACCGCAUACGACCUACGGGUGAAAGCAGGGGAUCUUCGGACCUUGCGCGAUUGAAUGAGCCGAUGUCGGAUUAGCUAGUUGGCGGGGUAAAGGCCCACCAAGGCGACGAUCCGUAGCUGGUCUGAGAGGAUGAUCAGCCACACUGGAACGGAGACACGGUCCAGACUCCUACGGGAGGCAGCAGUGGGGAAUAUUGGACAAUGGGCGCAAGCCUGAUCCAGCCAUACCGCGUGAGUGAAGAAGGCCUUCGGAUUGUAAAGCCCUUUUGUUGGGAAAGAAAAGCAGCAGGUUAAUACCCCGCUGUUCUGACGGUACCCAAAGAAUAAGCACCGGCUAACUUCGUG
This 492-nucleotide ribosomal RNA is filed under the name uncultured bacterium. Its description in RNAcentral is "partial 16S ribosomal RNA". It matches the Rfam family "Bacterial small subunit ribosomal RNA", at positions 29 to 507 of the family's 1533-position model. The record is from RNAcentral.